Molecule: ribosomal RNA, 371 nt
Filed under: uncultured organism
Description: bacterial SSU rRNA
Rfam family: Bacterial small subunit ribosomal RNA
Source: RNAcentral
CAGAGGGUGCGAGCGUUAAUCGGAUUUACUGGGCGUAAAGCGUGUGUAGGUGGCUACCUAAGUCGAUUGUGAAAUCCCUGGGCUCAACCUGGGAAUUGCAGUCGAUACUGGGCAGCUCGAGUUCGGUAGAGGGUGACGGAAUUCCCGGUGUAGCGGUGAAAUGCGUAGAUAUCGGGAGGAACAUCGAUGGCGAAGGCAAUCACCUGGGCCUGAACUGACACUGAGACACGAAAGCGUGGGUAGCAAACAGGAUUAGAUACCCUGGUAGUCCACGCUGUAAACGAUGGAAACCUGACGUCGGUUUGCUCUGCGAAUCGGUGUCGUAGCUAACGCGCUAAGUUUCCCGCCUGGGGAGUACGGCCGCAAGGUUG